CGGCGAGUGAAGCGGCAUAAGCUCAAAUUUGAAAUCUGGCUCUUUCAGGGUCCGAGUUGUAAUUUGUAGAAGAUGUUUCGGGUGUGGUGCCGGUCUAAGUUCCUUGGAACAGGACGUCAUAGAGGGUGAGAAUCCCGUACGUGACUGGCUACCUACGCCCAUGUGAAACUCUUUCGACGAGUCGAGUUGUUUGGGAAUGCAGCUCAAAAUGGGUGGUAUAUUUCAUCUAAAGCUAAAUAUUGGCCAGAGACCGAUAGCGCACAAGUAGAGUGAUCGAAAGAUGAAAAGCACUUUGGAAAGAGAGUUAAACAGUACGUGAAAUUGUUGAAAGGGAAGCGCUUGCAAUCAGACUUGCGCCUAGUUGAUCAUCCAAGCUUCUGCUUGGUGCACUCGAUUAGGCUCAGGCCAGCAUCGGUUUGGGUGGUUGGAUAAAGGCUUGGGGAAUGUAGCCUCCUUCGGGUGGUGUUAUAGCCCCAGGUGCAAUGCAGCCUACCUGGACCGAGGACCGCGCUUCGGCUAGGAUGCUGGCGUAAUGGUUGUAAGCGACCCGUCUUGAAACACGGACCAAGGAGUCGACCUAUUUAGCGAGUGUUUGGGUGUUAAACCCAUACGCGUAAUGAAAGUGAACGGAGGUGAGAGCCCAUUAGGGCGCAUCAUCGACCGAUCCUGAUGUCUUCGGAUGGAUUUGAGUAAGAGCUAAGUGGGUCGGACCCGAAAGAUGGUGAUCUAUACGUGAAUAGGGUGAAGCCAGAGGAAACUCUGGUGGAGGCUCGCAGCGGUUCUGACGUGCAAAUCGAUCGUCAAAUUUGCGUAUAGGGGCGAAAGACUAAUCGAACCAU
This 839-nucleotide ribosomal RNA is filed under the name Rutstroemia firma. RNAcentral describes it as "eukaryotic LSU rRNA". It matches the Rfam family "Eukaryotic large subunit ribosomal RNA", at positions 87 to 943 of the family's 3401-position model. Lineage: Eukaryota; Fungi; Ascomycota; Leotiomycetes; Helotiales; Rutstroemiaceae. The record is from RNAcentral.